Molecule: long non-coding RNA, 308 nt
Organism: Carassius gibelio (silver crucian carp)
Lineage: Eukaryota; Metazoa; Chordata; Actinopteri; Cypriniformes; Cyprinidae
Exons: 3
Source: RefSeq, a predicted model, not a curated record
CUCACUCAAGAGCCAACCCUCACAAACCUUCCUAAAAACUAAAAGAGCUAUUACUGAGUCUCAGCGAAUCUUGCCAUGAUCAGCUCUUCCCAGAAGAGAAGGAAGACCAAGGAAAUGAUUUGCUCAGGAUGAGAAAUGAAGAUGGCCAUCUUGUGCUCAAACAAACAGAAGUCCUCUGAUGAUCUCAUCAGCCAUAUGAGGGGUUUUGACCAAGUGAUGCUCUUGAAAGGAGUGAAAGAAGAGGAUGUGGUAAAUUGUCUUCAGAGAAAAAGCUUCUCAAAAGGUCUUAAAGCAGCUUGAAGAAUGGU